Molecule: long non-coding RNA, 371 nt
Organism: Carassius gibelio (silver crucian carp)
Lineage: Eukaryota; Metazoa; Chordata; Actinopteri; Cypriniformes; Cyprinidae
Exons: 2
Source: RefSeq, a predicted model, not a curated record
GAAGAGCGCGAAGGACGGAGGCGAACAGCAGCCAGUUUUAUCACCAUCAGCCACGCAGGUUCUGCCAAUCAGCGCCGCGCAGGGGAUCGGCUGUCACUCACGCAGACUGACAGGGAGCUGCGCGGGGUUGACUUGGCAGCAGCUGGAGGCUCGCGAUGGCUUUUGAAAGACUAUGUUCGCCCCUCGUCUGGACUACUGUCUGUUUGGACUAUCUGUUUAACUCGCCCCCUGGAUUAUGUUAGCCGUUGAUUGACCUAUGACUGUUCACUGGACUGCUCUUGUGUCUUGCCCUCAAUAUACUGGUUUGCCAGUGUUCAACCCCGCCUGAGGAGGACCAUGUCUAUGAAUAAAGCUUUGCGUAUGGAUCCCCA